AGCAGAGACAGGGGAGCGUGAGUAAAAUUGGAGUUAUUUCGAUAAUAGGGGUUCACAUAAAUCACUUUACUCUUCUCUCUGUCCCAAACUUUUUCACAGACAAGAGAGAAGAUCCAUCUCUCUCAUCUCUCUCAUCUCUCUCCCUUGUUCAAAUUGAGCUGUUUUUUCUUUUCACUUCCAGUGUCCCGAUCGAAGAAGAGAAACUAAAUGCUUCUUCUUUCUUUCUAGGGUUACUUUACCAAAUCUCCUAAUUCUAGCUUGUGAAGGAAAGAUGCUGCUGAAUGCAUUGUGAUGUGAUGUGAGACCAAGCUUGUCUUUUAUAGACGAGAUGGAUAUAUUAUUAUUGUUUUCUCCAAAUAUGUCAAUAUAUUUUUCUCCUUUUCUGUUCAACUUGAUUUAAAGACAAAUGUCCAAGUAUUUGUUUUCAUUUUAUGUGAUUGUGACAACUGUAAAAUGACUAAUCUUUUUCUUUUUCUUUUAACACUACAUUUCAUUUGAUAGAAGGAAGUAUAUUGUUGGAUUACA
Long non-coding RNA from Raphanus sativus (radish), 525 nucleotides. RefSeq lists it as uncharacterized. Lineage: Eukaryota; Viridiplantae; Streptophyta; Magnoliopsida; Brassicales; Brassicaceae. The transcript is spliced from 2 exons. The record is from RefSeq and is a predicted model, not a curated record.